RNAcentral lists this small nuclear RNA (22 nucleotides) under Arabidopsis thaliana (thale cress). Its description in RNAcentral is "snRNA_07801". Lineage: Eukaryota; Viridiplantae; Streptophyta; Magnoliopsida; Brassicales; Brassicaceae. The record is from RNAcentral.
CAAAUGAGAACUUUGAAGGCCG